AUUGAACGCUGGCGGCAUGCUUUACACAUGCGAGUCGAACGGCAGCGCGGGCUUCGGCCUGGCGGCGAGUGGCGAACGGGUGAGUAAUGCAUCGGAACGUGCCCAGUAGUGGGGGAUAGCCCGGCGAAAGCCGGAUUAAUACCGCAUACGACCUGAGGGUGAAAGCGGGGGACCGAAAGGCCUCGCGCUAUUGGAGCGGCCGAUGUCGGAUUAGCUAGUUGGUGGGGCAAAGGCUUACCAAGGCGACGAUCCGUAGCUGGUCUGAGAGGACGACCAGCCACACUGGGACUGAGACACGGCCCAGACUCCUACGGGAGGCAGCAGUGGGGAAUUUUGGACAAUGGGGGCAACCCUGAUCCAGCCAUGCCGCGUGCGGGAAGAAGGCCUUCGGGUUGUAAACCGCUUUUGUUCGGGAAGAAAUCCUCUGGGCUAAUACCCCGGGGGGAUGACGGUACCGGAAGAAUAAGCACCGGCUAACUACGUG
This 484-nucleotide ribosomal RNA is filed under the name uncultured bacterium. RNAcentral's name for it is "partial 16S ribosomal RNA". It matches the Rfam family "Bacterial small subunit ribosomal RNA", at positions 28 to 507 of the family's 1533-position model. The record is from RNAcentral.